RNAcentral lists this long non-coding RNA (15860 nucleotides) under Nicotiana tabacum (common tobacco). Its description in RNAcentral is "long non-coding RNA (NTAB_LNC010555)". The record is from RNAcentral. Lineage: Eukaryota; Viridiplantae; Streptophyta; Magnoliopsida; Solanales; Solanaceae.
UUUUUUUUUUUUUUGUAAGCCAAGAAAAGAAAAGUUGUCGAGUGCUAAGUUGACGGGGAACUUCAUGAUAUCCCAUAGAAGGAUAAAUUCAUCAUAACAUAUAGAUAAUUAAAUUCUCAACACCAUAUAGAAGGUCAAAUCCAUCGCAACAUAUAGAAGGAAAAAUACAUCUCAACAUAUAGACGAAUAAAUUCAUAUCAGCAUAUAGACGGACAAAUUUUCAUCACGGAUAAAUUCACAUCAUUAUAUAGACGGACAAAUAUAUAUUAUUAUAUAAACGGACAAAUCCCUAUCACCAGUAGACGGACAUAUCAAUAUCAACAUAUAGACGGACAAAUUCAUAUCAACAUAUAGAAGAUUAACCCCAUGACAACAUAUGGAAGCAAAAAUUCUUAAUCGCAUCUAAAAAUUUGCCUAAAGCACAAAGGACUAGAAUUUUCUCCUCCUUUAGUCAAUUGUCAUUGCCAAACAAUAUUUUAAAACCAACUUUAUAUUGCACCAUGCUGUCAAUUUCAGAUUUGUGCAGUCUCAUAAAAUAAUUCGUAUCUUGGUGUAGAAAUGUCGAAAAUACGAACCGUUUGAUUUUUUGGAAACUAGACUUCAAAAUCUAAGACAUAUCUAAAAUUCAGAAUCAAACACUUUCAGAAUCGUACCAGAUAUUAUUUUGAAACUAACUUUAAAUUCCGACAUGUUGAUAGUUUCAGAUUUGUGCGGCUUCACCAAAAAAAUUAUAUCUUGGUGUAGAAAUGUCAAAAUCAUGAACCACAUAAUUUUUCGAAAAUUAGACUUCAAGAUCUAAGACAUAUCCAAAAUUCGGAAUCAAACACCCUCAAAGUUGUCCCAGAUAAUAUUUUAAAAUUAACUUUAGAUUCUGACACGUUGACAGUUUCAGAUUUGCGCAGCUUCACCAAAAUAUUUGUAUCUUAGUGUAGGUAUAUCAAAAUCAUGAACCGUUUAACUUCAAAAUCUAAAUCAUAUCCAAAUUACAAGAUUUAAUACCUUAAGUAUAGUUUCAGAUAAUAUUUUGAAAUCAACUCAAAAUUCCGACACACUAACGAUUUCAAACUUGCACGAUUUCACCAAAAAACUUUAUAUCUUGGUGUAUGAACGUCGAAAUCACGAACCGUUUGAUUUCUUGAAAACAAGACUUCAAAAUAUAAAACAUGUCCAAAAUGUAGGAUUUAAUACCUUAAGUAUAGUUUCAGAUAGUAUUUUGAAAUCAACAUUAGAUUUUGAUAUACCGACAAUUCUGAAUUGGCGCGACUUCGCCAAAACUUUUAUGUUUUGGUAUGGAAGCCUCGGGAUCACAAAACAUUUUUCUUGCUAUCAAUAAAAAUUCAAGAGCUCCAUUCUCACAAAUAUCUUGGGUUCAAGUCUCACUGAAUUUGAAAUAUUGUGCCAAGUAAUCUUUCGUCUUAUAGUUGUGUCCUUUUGGCGCCUCUCUUCUCUUCCCUUUUUUUAGGGCAGUGAGCGGAUAUGAAGACUAACAAACUUGAAAGUUAUGCGAACAUGAAGACAUAGAGAAUUUUCAGACUUCAAUACAAAUACUUUGUAACCUCCUAAAAGACUAUAAUUAUUUUAUUGAAGACACCAAUUUACCAUAGCGGCUUCCCUCCCUUUUAAUCAAACGGGAUCCAAAGUUUAACAGAAGAAUGAUAUCUCAACUCGAUUUUCAAGUUCUGAGUGAAUAGAUUACAUUCCAUCAUACUUCAUUCGAACAACAAUUGUGGCUCUAUGUAUCUUUCGAACUCAUGCGACUAAACUUAGAAUGAAACUCUAAACUGCCUACGUACCUCGGUAAAGACGAUCAAGUCAUACCGUAGUUCAGAAUAGGUGAGUUUUCUUUUUUCCUUUACUAUUAUUAUUAUUAUUAUUAUUAUUAUUAUUAUUAUUAUUAUUAUUAUUAUUAUUAUUAUUAUUAUUAUUAUUAUUAUGUCCUAACAAUUGCCUAGGCCGCCUCUUUUGAUAUUUUAAACCUAGAGGACUUUAUUUUUGGUGGGCCAUACACAGUUUAAAUUCAUGCGGGCCAGGAGUGACAUGCAGUUUAUACUCUUGAAAGUUUGGCGUAGUGACUUGCAAUUUAAGCUCGUAUUUUGAUAAGCUUUGCAACUUGAAGAUUUUGCUCAAAUUUGAAGAGUUUCAUGACAUACGGUUUAGGCUCGUGCGUCUAGGAGCAUUGUAACUUGAAGAUUUUGCUCGAAUUUGAAGAGUUUCACAACUUGAAAACUUUGCUCAAAUUUUAAGAGCUUUGCGUCUUAAAGUUUGGCUCAAAUUUGAAAAGCUUUGCAACUUGAAGUCUUAGCUCAACUUUGAAGAGCUUUCUACUUGAGUCUUUGCUUGAAUUUGAAAAGCUUUGCAACUUAAAGACAUUGCUCGACUUUGAAGAGCUUUACGUCUUAAAGUUUGGCUCUAAUUUGAAAAGCUUUGUGACUUGAAAUCUUCGCUCGACUUUGAAGAGAUUUCGACUUGGGUCUUUGCUCGAAUUUGAAGAGCUUUGCAACUUGAAGACUUUGCUCGAAUUUGAAUAACUUGAUGUCUUAAAGAUUUAGUUCAAAAUUGGGGAACUUCGUGACAUAUAAUAUAGACUCAUGUGCCAAGAAGCAUUACAACACGCAGUUUAGGCUCGUGCGUUGAGAAGCAUUAUAACUUGCAGUUUAGGCUCAUGCAUUGAGGAGCAUUAUCACUUGCAGUUUAGGCUCAUGCAUUGAGGAGCAUAGUGACAUACAUAGACUCUUCGAUUUUAUUUCAGAUGAAAAGUUGCCCCCAUCCUUGCCUUCUUGUUUUUCUUCUUCAUCGUCGUAAGGCUUAAAGACAGGUUUGGUCUCCACUUGUGGCCAUAAUUAGUUCCAUAUCAUGGGCACUAGUUUCUAGUUCUUCGAAUAUUUUGGGCUUUAUGUCUUGUAAUAUAUAGCGAAGACCCCAAUGUAUGCGUUGAAUGCACAUUUCGAUGCCAGAAGUUUCGCUAAGGAGAUCUUUGCAGUUGAAGCUUAAGCUCAUCCAAUGGUUAAUGAAGUCAAUAACAGGCUCAUCCUUUCGUUGAUGAGAGUUUGUGAGUUCGAUCAUGCUUACGAUACGUUUUGUGCUAUAGAAGCGAUUGAGAAACACAUGCUCUAACUACUCCCAACUAUCAAUGGAACCAGAUUUCGAGAUCUGUGUACCAAUCUAAUGCAUUACCUCUAAGAGAUCAAUCAAAUUGUUUGACAAGAUAAUCACCAUACGUUCCAGCAUUGUUGCAAGUUUCAACAAAGUGUGCUAUAUGUUGUUUCAGAUUUCCCUUCCCGUCUAAUUGUCGUAACUUAGGAGGUUGAUAACCAACAUAAAUCUUCAAGUUAUCAAUUCUUCGCGUAUACGGCUUUGCAUACUAGAUAUUUUGGGCGACGACUCAGGAAUCAGGGUUAUCUUUGAUCCACGAGCUCCUGUGUGUCUUCUUGUUAUAACUUUUGGUCCCUUUUCUGAGUUAUGAAGACCCCUAUUUAUAGUUGUGGGAGGGAAGAGUUAUGAUAAGAACAAAUUCUUUCCGACCAAUCAGACUGCAGAGUGACAAGGCCAUAUUUGAUUGGCCCGAACAUGUCACUUGCACAUGUGGCGCAGUUUUAUUGGCCUUUUAAUUUGGAUUGGCAUGCCUUGUCAUUUUGACAUGUGGCACGAUCCUAUUGGCUCUUUCGUUUGACUUGGCAUGCCACGUCAUUUGACAUGUGACACCAAAGUGGGCCUCUAGGAAGAUGAGUAGGCUCAUCAUUUGUAGCCCAAUUAAAUGGGCUAGCCGAGUCGAUAUUUAUUGGACUUAAAUAAUUAAUCCAAUUAUAUUAGCCUAUAAUUUAUUUGGACUAGUAUAUGUAAAAUAUAAUCCAAAUUAUUUAUUUAAUUUGAAUCGAAUAAAUUUUACAUGUAUACGAAUGUUAGGUCUUCCUUAUGUUUUUGUUAAUUAUAACUUUAAAAAAAUAUUGCUACCUUUCCCAUUUCUCUUUCCUAAUGUUACUUUAAAAGUUAAUUUUUUUUCCUUUUAAAUAAGAUUUUCUCAAAUACCUUUAAUAUCUUUUAACAUUUUAUAUGGUUUUAUCUGAUUAGUAAUGGUUUUGAUGUAGUUCUUUUUAUUUUUAAAUUUUUAAAUUUAUAAUUUAUAAAAUUAUAUAAAAGUGAUUAAAUUGAUCCCCUUGACCACCCACUUUUCUUUCAUUCUAGUGAAGAAAUUAAUGGACGUCACAUAUAUAGUCAUUAAAGUAGUAAUGGAUGUAUUAGAUUAUGGUCACUAAUAGGUGUAAUAAUCUUUUCUGUCUUGUACAAUGAUUAAGAGAUGAAAAUUUACAUCGUAAUUGUUUGAUCCAAAAACUAAAUUUGGAAGACAUAAUUAAACUUAUAUUUUGAGGUCUCUAGCAAUUAGUCCGAUCCAAAAGUUGAACAAAACGAUCGAUAAUCGUAAAUAAUGAAUGAGAUAAAAUAAAGAUAAAAGAAAAAUUAAUCUUAUUAAAUGUAAGCCUCGAUGAGCUAUAAUAACAGUUGCAUUAACAAUCUACGGGGUAACUAAACAAAGCUUACAACAAUAUAAGAAGAGCCUCAAUUAUAUUCUUUUUCCUUUUUUCCUAUGCUCCUCUUUCGAGAUACAAAGGUGAUACUUAUAGUCGUGGGGAGGAGGAUCGUUGUCGUUACGAGUUUUGAACCAGCACGUCGAGAAGUUAGGUAGUGGGGAGCGAGAAUCUCGAUAAUGGUAACCAAUUUAACGUAACGUUCGAUGACCACACAAUAUCCCGGCGCGGUUGACUGCGUCUUCCAAUAUACCUUUUUUAAAUUUUAUUCUUAUCCCAUUUGAUCACCUUUGUUGGAGCUAUUGCUCCUUUGGUGAAUCGAAUCCACAACCCUGAACUUGUAGGUGAGGGUCCGGAGCAAUCCCCUCUUGUCCCAAUACACUUUUUUAUUCUUCGAAUACUACGUGGAGAAGGUAAAUUUUAUCAAUACAAUAAUAUCACAAGUUCCUCACUUAAUUUUCUAAAAGAAAUAAAAAAAAAUCAUCUAUUAAUAAUUUUUUUUAUUACAUAAAUACAUCAGUUAGAAAUUGAAAGAGAGAAUUUCAAUAGUGAAAAAUCAAACUUAUACAUAUUCCCUUUAUCAAACUUAUACAUCUAUUGUGUAAAAAGUUUGUAUCAAUAUCACUACUACAAUAAGCAUCACUGAUAAUAAACAAGCAUAUUCCCUUUUAUCUGAAAUUAAGAUUAAAAGAAUUUGUUUGGCCAGGAAUUAAAAUAAAAUGAUCCCUUUUGGCUUUUGGGUUGGGUUACAAAAGAAGCGCCAAACAAUUUGGAUCCACUUGGCUAUACGCAAAUAACUGUCCAUUCUCUCUCUUACGCUAAAAAGAUUUGGAAUUUCUGCUUCCCUUUCACUUCACAUUACAAUUUCAUUCUCACUCUCCGUUUCAAUCCACCCCAAUUCCCAUUUCAGGUAAUUCUCUCCCUCUCUACAUCUGUAUACAUUUUAUUGUUAUCUAAGUAUCUGCUGCCUCGUACCAGCAUAGGUUGGUUAAAUUUGUCCACCAAGGUUUAGAAAAUGGUUCUAGAUAUGUAUAUAUACACCAAUUGUCUGUUCAAUCUUUAUUGGGUUUUGUGGGAUUUCUUGCUAGAAACCGUUUUUUGAUAGAAUCUGACGGUGUCCGUAUAAAUUUGUGUAUAUAGAGGGAAGAUGUGAUAAUCAACUUAAUUGAUUUGGAUCCUUUUUUACCCAUAACUUGAAUGUUGGUGUUGCUCCACUUGAUUUGGAGUUUCUUUGGUCCCUUCUAGGAAAGAUUGUAAUUUGAUUGUAACUUGGGGUAUAAUCAAAUUUUAGCCUUAAGUUUUUUCGCAAGUACUCAUAUCCUGUGCCUUUAACUGUAUGCAAUUGAUUAAGAUUACAAGUUUCAUGCGUAGAGGAUUUGGUACUUUUACACGAUUAGUUUGUGAAUCUGUUAAAUAUUUGCCAAAUUCAAGCUUGUUCAAGUAAUUUCUAUAUUGAAGUAAUCUGGGCUGUGAUGUUGAAAUGUGUCAAAAUUUUGUGCUGUUGUGGAAUUUGCCCCCAGAUAUUUAGGUUUUUAUGGUCGGAAAUGGAUAGCUCAUUGCCCAUAGACCUGCAUUACACUGUAGUUUCGAGUUAGGCGUGAAAAGUUUGAACCUUUUUGGCGCAUUUCCUACUUUUUGAGAGUAAAUGAUACUGGCGCUAGCUAAUUCAAUUCUUUAGUUUGUGGCAAAGAGUUUUAGAAGAUUCUCGGUUAUUAAGUCCUGAUAGCCGUUGGCGUACUAAGGAGUUACGUAUUGGAGCUUACAUGUUUGCUCCUACGGUAAUGAGGACGGUCCGACGGGGGAUAAAUAAUUUUAAGUUGGGAACUGAAAAGGCCAAAGGGGUAAUUAAAAAGAAGGCUGGAUUUAGUGAGUUGUUUUUCGUCAUUAAUGACAAGUAAACAAGAUAGGUAUGAUAAAAGAAAGGGUUUGUUUUGCUCUAGACGAGUUUGCAUGAACAUGAAAUGACUGAGGCUCAAAAGGUUAUAAUAUAUCUUUUUGUCUCUCUCUGUCUCUUGUUUUCUUGUUGGUAGCCAUCUUUUUAUGUGGGAUGCGUUGAGUUCGAUAGAGCUUAUACAUUUGCUUGAUAUGCAAAGGACUAUUACUCGCUCCAGACAACUUCUCAUUCUCUGGGUUCUUUUGGUUUCUGGAUAAUAUCAUUGAGACUCAUUAACCCCACCGGUCCUCAUAUGAUUGAAGUAUCUUGUAUUUGGGGAUUGUGUUGGGAUUCUAUAAUUCCACUAUUAUGGAUUAGGGGUGACAAUCUGCCCCUUCUCACUGUCGCUGCAUGCUUGACCCUGAAAGCCUAUUGUGUCCUUCAUGGGUCAAUUUCUUUUAAUUCGGGAUUCAUUUUUUUUUGUGUGGACUGAAACAUGUUAUAAAAACGAAAAUAUUCUAUCCAGUAACCCAUCUCUAGUUGUAUAAUCCUGCCAAAUCCCAGUCAUGAACCAAACAAUUCCCAUAGGUUUUGCAAAUAAUUAUGGACAAGAGUGGGUUGCUCUAGUGGUGAGCACCCUGCACUUCCAACCAAGAGAUUGUGAGUUCGAGUCGCCCCAAGAGCAAGGUGGGGAGUUCUUGGAGGGAGGGAGCCGAGGGUCUAUCGGAAACAACCUCUCUACCUCAGGGUAGGGGUAAGGUCUGCGUACACACUACCCUCCCCAGACCCCACUAGUGGGAUUAUACUGGGUUGUUGUUGUUGUAUGGACAUGCUGUAAUCAUGGCACAAGAAUACAUAGUGCUUUAUAGGGAAAAAGUUAGCUUCUAUGUGCUAAUGGAUUUCUGUUAUGGGCUUAUUUGUAAUUAACAAGCUUUUGGUCUUGCUUUCUUCAAUGCUAUUUGAAAGAUGAUAAAACUAUAAGCCAUAAAGAAAAUGUGUCUCUACUAUCUAAUCUAAUACUGCUUCUAUCUUUCAUUGCUUAGUUUUCCUUAUUGUUGCAUGUUCCAGAGGAUAGGCAAGUUUAGCAACAAUUCUGAACUUCGUCACCUUACUUUCCUUUUUCCCCACUUCUUGUUUCAGAGCGAAGCUAAUUUACAUCACUCAUGGAUCGCCUAACCAGUGCUGCACGUCUCAUGAUAGUCUCAGAUCUAGACCAUACAAUGGUGGGUUUGUCAUAGUUGUCAUUUCUCCUGCAUAUGCUGCUGUAACUUACAUGAGAUUUUGCUUUACAGGUAGAUCAUCAUGAUGCCGAGAACCUUUCUCUGCUUAGAUUUAAUGCUUUAUGGGAGGCGAAUUAUCGUGAUAACUCUUUGUUAGUGUUCUCAACUGGGAGAUCACCUACACUUUACAAGGAGUUGAGGAAAGAAAAGCCCAUGCUAACCCCAGAUAUUACUAUUAUGUCGGUGGGAACUGAAAUAACAUAUGGUAACUCUAUGGUGCCUGAUGAUGGUUGGGAAGCUUUUCUAAAUAACAAGUGGGACAGAAAGAUAGUAACAGAGGAGACUAGCAAGUUUCCUGAACUCACUCUACAGGUACACUUAUGGGUUGACAUGAGAUCAUUUGUUACUUCAGUUUCGAUUACAAAGCUUAAAGUUAAUAGUAGAACUUGAAAAUCAGUUAUGUUUAAAAAUAGUAUGUAAACUGAAACAUAACUUCAGCAACUGAUAUCUGUAAAAGCAACUUCUUUUAAUCCCUGCAGUCAGAAACGGAGCAGCGACCACACAAGGUCAGUUUCUAUGUUCAGAAAGACAAAGCACAAGAUAUAAUGAAAACUCUUUCCAAGCGCUUCGAAGAACGUGGGGUACGACACAACUUUUGCACUUCAGAUUUUGGCAUCAAUAUGAAUAAGUUCAUACAGCAAGAUGAGAGCAUGUCAUUCUUUCUACGCUUCAGUGAACUCAAUUCAUUUAGAUUCAUAUUGAGUUUCAUUUCUUUUCUAUCUGAUUUUUUCUGUCUUUUGUGGUCAUCAGCUGGAUGUCAAAAUAAUUUACAGUGGAGGCAUGGAUCUAGAUAUAUUACCACAAGGUGCUGGCAAAGGACAAGCACUUGCAUAUUUGCUUAAGAAAUUGAAGAGUGAGGGAAAAUUACCAAACAACACCCUUGCCUGUGGUGACUCUGGGAAUGAUGCUGAGCUAUUCAGUAUCCCAGAUGUGUAUGGUGUAAUGGUUGGUGGUUCAGCUGUUUUCCAAUAUAUCCUUAUAAUCCGGUAAUAUAUUUUCAUGUUUGUGGUCAAAAGUACUCUCUAAGUGUACAGUCACUUUGCAGGUAGCUAAUGCACAGGAGGAAUUAUUGCAAUGGCAUGCUGCAAAUGCGAAGAAUAAUCCUAAAGUAAUUCAUGCAACAGAGAGGUGUGCUGCCGGUAUCAUACAAGCUAUUGGUCAUUUCAACCUAGGUCCAAGUACCUCCCCUAGAGAUGUUAUGGAUUUGUCAGACUGCAAGAUGGAGAACUUUGUUCCCGCCUAUGAAGUUGUCAAAUUUUACCUAUUUUUUGAGAAAUGGAGGCGUGGAGAAAUUGAGCAUUCUGAGCAUUACCUGUCAAACCUUAAAGCAGUGUGUGUAUGUUUUAGUACCCUAUACCUACUGUUAUUUCAUUUUCUUAUGUGUAUUUUGUGUUAGGAAUUUGACUGCGGAUUCUAGAAAUCUUCCCUCCCUAAGUACUCCCGACCCUACUCCUACCCCUNNNNNNNNNNNNNNNNNNNNNNNNNAAGUCUGAACAGAAUAUAGGCACUUUUAAAUUUUUUUGGUAUCCACAUGUAUGAAUUUUAAAUAACAAACUGAAGUAGUAUCUUAUACUCAAUAAAUAAUUAAAAAAAGUGGUAUCUUGUACUCUCCAUGUACUCUCUCUCUCCCCUCAUGGUUUUGAUUUCUGGUUGAGUGGGAGGGCGAAGGUGAGUGGUGGGUUUAAACCAGGUGAUUAUUUUGUCAUUGUGGUUAGCGAUCGUAUCGGAGCUUGAUGAAGAUGUCACGCAUCAUAUCGGAGCUUGAUAGAUGAAGUGGAGGCUCGCUUCCAGUGUCUUAUGUGAUAAGAAUGUGCCGCUGAAACUUAAAGGUAAGUUCUACAAGAUUGUAGUUAGACCGACUAUAUUGUAUGGAGCAGAGUGUUGGCCGGUCAAGAACUCUCAUACCCAGAAGUUAAAAGUAGCUGAGAUGAGGAUAUUGAGGUGGAUGUGUGGGCAUACCCGGUUGGAUAAGAUUAAGCAUGAAGUUAUUCGGAAAAAAGUGAGAGUGGCCCCUGUGGAGGAUAAGAUGCAUGAGGCGAGGUUGAGAUGGUUCGGGCAUGUUAAGAGAAGUAUAGAAGCCCCAGUUAGAAGGUGUGAGCGGUUAGCCUCGGUGAGCGGCAUGCGGGGUAGAGGUAGGCCUAAGAAGUCUUGGGGAGAGGUUAUUAGGCGGGACAUGGCGCAGCUGGAGCUGACUGAGGACAUGACCCUAAACAGGAGGGUGUGGAGGUCAAAGAUUAGGGUAGAAGGUUAGUAGGUAGUCGAGCGUUUCUCUUUGUCUUACUAAGUUCGCUAGCAUUAAUGUUAGUAAGUUUUCUUUUAUUCAUAGAUGGCUAUUAUUACCUAGAGUUUGAUUGCAUUCUUGGAUUCGAUCUUAUUUCAUCUUGCUGUUAUUCCUGCUUGUUGCAAUUACCUUUUCUUUUUCGGUCAUUCUCUAGCCGAGAGUCUAUCGGAAACAACCUCUCUGCCCUUCCAAGGGUAAGAGUAAGACUGCGUACAUCUUAACCUCCCCAGACCCCACUCGUGGGAAACUACUGGGUUUGUUGUUGUUAUUGUUAUUGUUGUUGUUGGUUAGCGAUCCUUAUUUGCCAACUCUUCUAUUACUGCAGAGACCAUCUGGUACUUUUGUCCACCCAUCUGGUGUUGAGAAAUCCCUCCAGGAAUGUGUAACUUUAUUCGGGACAUGUCAUGGUGACAAACAGGGGAAACAAUUUCGUAUUUGGGUCGAUCAAGUUUUACCUGUACAGGUUGGUUCGGACUCAUGGUUAGUGAGUUUCAAGAAAUGGGAGCUCUCUGGUGAGUAUCUUUUACCUCAUGCGAUGGUCUUUCAUUUUGCUCUCAACUUUGUACAUGCUCCUAGAAGUCAGUGUGUUUCUCUUCACUUUUAUAGUCUAUCACAUGCUUUUCCCAGACUGGGCCUUUCACGUAAUAAUUCGACCUCAUUUACUAAAUUCUGUCCCUCCCUUGGUGUUUUUGUGUGCUAAGUUGCUCGAACUCUUCACUUUCGUUCCGCACCCGUGUUGACACGACGUGGGUGCGGGAUCCGUACCGGAUCUGGUCAACCGGUUGUUUUGGGUACUUUGAUCAAAAUCGACGGAGAAAUUUGGGACAGAUACAAUAAUUUUUUAAAUCAAAACAAAAGCUAGGGUGAAAUUGAAGAAAAUGGAAUAUCUUGUAUAUAGAAAUUGCAAUGUCAUUCCUUUUCCUUUUAUCUCCUCGGAUUCUCCUCUUGAUCAAUAUAUUAUCCUUCUAGGAAUACCUUGUAAAUUAUCCACAUAGUGUCACAUAAUUUAGACAUAUUUUAUAACUCUAAUUUUAGAUAUUUGGACUAUCUUUAGCCAAAUCCCUACACUCAUAUCCGUACCUGAAUCUGUCUCAAAAUUUAGAUCAUGAAAGGAUCCAACCUCUAGAUCCACAACCGUAUCGGACACUCGUAUCCCAUUCCGAGCAACUUAGUUUGUGUGGCUCAAACACCCUUUUAUGUGAUUUUCCUCCAUCUUAAUGUAGAUGUGUUUUUCUUCCUUCAAUGGUAGUGAAGUAAUUUUCUGAAUAGGCUUAAGGAGGAGCUGAGUAUCUGUAGUUAUUUAUUGUAACUUGUUAUUAGACCUGCUUGCAUUUCAAAUUCUAUCUUAAGCUUUCGAAGGUUUUUGAGUUUUAUUAGUUGAAGAACAAACUAGGAGGAGGGAAGGUGUGGGGUAAAGAGAUAUUACUUACGUUGUUGAAAUAGAAAUCUUUUGUUUGCUUCAAGCAUGCAAACAUGUUGUUUGAAGUUGUGUUCCAGCAACAGAGACGAGCCAUUUGGAACAGUUGAUGCCUGAAGCCAUACUUUAAAUAUGCGUCAACGAGAUAAUAAUUUGGGUUCUUUCCUUUUGGAAUACUUUGGCUAGCUAUCUCAAUCGCACAGCAGUUUUAUAUACUCAUUCCUGCAAAUCACAGCCACAGUCUACCAAUUGUGCACUGAUUCUGUUCCUUGCCUUACGAGACUUCUUGAGCAUACACCAAAUCCCACGCUAAGCCCUUACAAAACCAAUUGAAGCUUCAGUUGUGAACAUUAGUAGUUGGAGCAUUAUAAUGAGUGAAGUAUCUAGCCUUUCCAUUUUCGACCUUAGGUGAGGUUUAGGUGCUUGUAAUAUUUGAGCCCCUAAUCUUUGGAUUACAGUGCCCACACAGCUUUGGUCUACUAAGAAGUCUAAAAAGAAUAGUUCUUAUCAGAAAAAUAAAGUCUAAACAGAACAGUCUUGCAACCAAAGAGUCUCCCUAUUUUCCUUUCUGAUUUCGCAGUAGGAAUAGAUAAAAAAGGGCAACCCGGUGCACUAAGCUCUCGCUAUGCGCGGGGUUCGGUGAAGGGCCGGAUCACAAGGGUCUAUUGUAUGCAGCAUUACCCUAUAUUUCUGCAAGAGGCUAUUUUCAUGUCUCGAACUCGUGACCUCCUAUUCACUGGCUGCUUGCCUUUUCCCACACCUGCAUUUUCGUUCUCAUAGCUCUUUUAUCAUUUUCACAUUGCUAUCUUAUAAGUUGCUUAUUCCUGCAGGUGAAGACAGGCGAUGUUGCAUAACUACAGUCCUAUUAAGUUCAAAGGUAAAAUUUCAAAUUUGCAGACUAAGGAUUUUUCCAUGUAAAUUUUACAACUGAAGCCUAAUAUAAUCUGUCGUUGUCCCAGAAUAAGACUGUCGCAGAUGGACUCACUUGGACCCACGUACAUCAGACAUGGCUGAAUGGAGCUGCAGCAAGUGACUCUACGACCUGGUUCUUUUAGAUUGUCAUCUCAGUUUAACUCUGAAAAGUCAGUACUCCUUUUACCAAUUCACCCAUAAUAAACACAAAAUACAAACUAUAUCAAUAUGCAUCAGUGGCCGCUGGUGGCUUCCGCUUCUUCCUGGCCCAUUCUUGUCUCACUCUUCUUCAUUGAUAAUCAAUGUAUAACCAUCUACAGUCUAAACCGUGAAGAUGGCUUCAUCUUUUGUAGUAUAAAAGUUUAUAUUAGCUGCAACAGUUGUACUAUUGACAGUUGUAGCUGUCAUUUCUUAUUCACACUGAGAUUGUUACAAAUUACUGCAUAGUAGCCUGUGUAGGUUGUGGUAUCAUCUUUAAGCCUGGAUUACAUGUAUGUUUACUACGUAAGUUAUAGUGGCUUAUAACAUACUUUGCCUCCCUAAUGAUUUUUUUAGUCACCUACCUCGAAGAAACGCAAGGUUAAACUUUAGUCAUUACAAUAGCUUUGCACUAAUCUUCCGCUAUGCGUGGGGUCCGGGAAAGGGCCAGAUCACAAUGUUUAUUAUACACAGUCUUACUCUGCAUUUAUGUGAGAGACUGUUUUUACGGCUCGAACCCGUGAUCUCUUGGUCAUAUGGAAGCAACUUUAUUAGUUACGCCAAGUCAUUACAAUAGUAAAGUAAAAAUAUUAUCUUUUGUCAUACUAAGGUAACUGAACUUUUUCCGAGUGUGUCUCAUCUUGAGAAACAUUGACAUUGUACCGAAUGCGCCUCCCCCUAUUUUGACAAUGACACCGGUAAUUUCUUAAUUCUCUUGAGGAAAUUCUUAUUAUUUUUCACUAGGAAAAGGAAUUUUGCCUAAACAGGAUUGAUAUCAAAGCAUGCGAAAAAUUCAUGGGAAAAACAAAAGGCACCACGGUUUGGAAAUAGCAAAUUAAAAGAUCAAACACUACUAAUUAUAGUGUUCCUUCAUUAAUUCCAAGUGUAGGUUAAAAGAUUAUUUAUCGCCAAAUCUUUCCAUGAUUACAACGCAAAAUACAAUUUAUAGAAGUAGAAAGAGUUGAUAACAAACUCUUGAAAUAUUAAGAUCAAAUACCAAUUUAACUGCUUUGGCCAGUAAUCUUAUCAAGGCAAUCACUAGCAAUCCCUUGUGCCCAAUUGUCAAAUUUCUUGAACUCAGGAUCAAAUCCAUAUAUAGAAGUAGCACAUUCAUUGCAAGUAUCAAUGUUUGUUGACAUUGCACUAACAUCCACAUUAGCUUUGUACAUAUUUCCUGCUUUGACAUCUUCCUCAGUCCUCUUCAUUGCAUCCUUUGCAUCUUCAAAGACAGAUUUGCAUGUCUCAAGACAAUCCUUAGCAUAAAUAUCUGUGUUUGGUUCAGCCAAACGUUUGUCAAUGACUUUGGUAAUAAAUUCGUCGGUCUUGGACAUUGUUGCGUCCAUGAUAGCUUUUACAAAUAUCGAGACAUCCCCUGUUGAUACAACGGGGAUGUUUUUUGGAAUUUCAAAAGUUGUUGUAGAGGCUACAGAAGCAGUUAGGGACGACAAUGAAGAGGCCGAGGCAGAGGAUGAGGAUGAGGAUGAGGAUGAGGAUGAGGUCGAGGUCGAGAAGGAGGAGGAUUGUUGUGGGGAAAGGGCAGGUGCAUGGGAUUGUGAUGGAGUGGGGUAAUUUUUGUAUGCCUUAGAGGGGAGGGUUGUAAGGAAGAAAGAAAUGGCGAAGACAAGAAAUAUUUGGGUAUAAAACGCCAUUGUCCUUUUUUUUUAAAUUUAUUUAGAAGAGAAAAAAGAUGGCAAAAGACGAUGGGGAAAAGAAAGUGGUGAAUUCAAGGAGAUUCAUUGGGUGUUUUUAUACGUAAAAUUGAGUUAUAGCUUCAUUGGCUAUGCUAAAAUAUAGAUUUUCAAGUGCAUAUUAACCAGCAUUUGACAAUUUCGUUUUAGAGAUUCUAGUUCUCUAAUUUAUUAUUGAAGGAUAGAAUUUUUUGGCCCCAUAACUCACCCGGCCACACAACGUUGAAUCGAAUUACAAAAUACUUUGUGCAUCAAACAGUUUGAUUCAAACUGCUCUUUUAUUAUAGAUAAGUUAAAAGAAUUAGACAAAAACUUUGUUUUUUUAUGAAUGUGGGUAUAUUGUAUUAAUACUAAUAUUAUUCAAAGUUAUUACAGAUCAUAGUACUGCCUCUUAGGGUAUUUUCAUUGCCAAGUUCAAUCAGCCUAGUACAUGCGUUAUAUGUAAUUAGUUUAACAAAGCAUUUCCCACUAAUUAUGUUGAUUAGUUUAAAUUAAUUAGAAUUUGGUAGUUUAUGUUAUGAAAGAAGUUAUGCCGGGAUAACUUUUGUGUAAAUAACACGAUAUCUAUCAUUUGAAACUUUAUAUUAUUUUAUUGAAGUGACCUAAUAAAUUUCAAAAUAAAGACUUUUAAGAAAGAUAAUGUAGGUCUUUAAACUCAUAAACAAAUUAGCACUUUAGUUUUCAGACACAUUAAAUAACCUUAUCAUAACUCUAUUUGUCACCCCUAAGCUUUUGAAAAGAAGAAUACUCCAAUUUGAAGGCAAAAGGUUUUCAAAUGACAAAAAGGGGAUAUAUUUACUAAACUUUUCAUCCAGAUGAAAAAUUCACAUAAAAUUACAUAAAGCUUUUUAGCACUUGGUUCUCCUACAGCGAAAGCCCAAAAAGAAAAAUACUAUAAGCUAGACUUGAGUGACAAGUCAAAGAUCCUUACACUUGUGGCAAUAUUUUUUUUAAGCUUCGUGUAAAAGACAUAUGUCAUGUAAUCAUUUGUUUGGUUAAUACAAUGAGUUUUUUUCCUUUCCAAAAUAAGGUUAAUUAUCUUCUAUAAACUGUAGUAUAAAAUAAUUUAUAAAUAUCAGGUCAUUCUAAAAAAUAAUUGCUAAUCAACCAUAUAAAAUAUGAUUAGUACCUGAAAAGUGAUAUAGGUUACCAACUACAACAUGUCAAAUUAUGCUAAUAGUAUAAAAAUUCUUUACAAUUAUCGGUGCAUAUAAAUUAAAUCCUUUCAAAUUAUGGAAUGCUUGAUAUGUAAAUGAUCUAACACCAAUUUUGAUUUCCAAAUUGCUAAAACGUGUGUUUGAGAAAUUUUUAAUCAAAGAAGAAAAGAAAUUACAGUACAGCAAAAUUGUUACCAAUAUAAUUAUUAGUUAGCCAAGAGUCUUGACCAAUUCUUUCCCCUGAAUUACAAACCCAACAAGGUAAUAAAAGAGAACACUAAUUAAAUAAACAUUAGCCAGGUUAUUAAUUAUUAAUAUUCCACCCAAACCACCUGAAUCCUCAGCUAUAAAGAACAACCAUAUAAAAAUUGUAUCUUUAUGAAUUAAUAGUCUUAUAUUAAUUUAACAUAUGCACUGACUGUCAAUGCAUAUAAGUUAAAUCCAGUCUUUUUAUAAUUUAACUGCUAAAGCCCACAAUUUUUUCCAAGGCAUCUUCAGUAAUUUUCUCUGCCCAAUCAUCAAAUGACAUGA